AAAGAUGGAUUAGGUUGUCGCUAUAAGAUGGGGCCGCGGCGCAUUAUCUAGUUGGUGAGGUAACAGCUCACCAAGGCGACGAUGGGGAGCCGACCUGAGAGGGUGAUCUGACAAACUGGCACUAAUACACGGGCAAGACUAAUAGGGGAGUGUUCAAUAAUGAAUCUUCCACAGUGCGAGAAAGGCUGAUGGAGUAAAGAAGGGUGUGUGAAUAAAGUUUUCUUAUCGGAGAACUCUGGUGUAGGGGAAGAACAAGUUGCGUUUUUGCUGGCUGUGCCUUGACGGUACCUUAUUAAAUCUGCGCGGGUAACUACGUGCAAACAGCCGGGGUAAUACUUAGGCGGAAUUACUUGUCGGAAAUUAUGGGGAGGAGAUCGGGCGCGGGCGAUCCUUUAUCUCUGAUGUGAAACCGCGAGGCGCAACCGUAAAGGGUCAUUGAAAACUGGGGAAAUUGAAUGCAAAAUAGGAGAGUGGAAUUCCAAGUGUAACAUAGAAGAGGGAACAGAUGUGGAGAAACACACUUAGCGAGAGGUGACUUUCUGGUGUGGGGCUGACGCUGAGG
Molecule: ribosomal RNA, 562 nt
Filed under: Lysinibacillus sp. H56
Lineage: Bacteria; Bacillati; Bacillota; Bacilli; Caryophanales; Bacillaceae
Description: bacterial SSU rRNA
Rfam family: Bacterial small subunit ribosomal RNA
Source: RNAcentral